Molecule: ribosomal RNA, 478 nt
Filed under: uncultured bacterium
Lineage: Bacteria
Description: partial 16S ribosomal RNA
Rfam family: Bacterial small subunit ribosomal RNA
Source: RNAcentral
UGGGGAAUAUUGCACAAUGGGCGCAAGCCUGAUGCAGCCAUGCCGCGUGUGUGAAGAAGGCCUUCGGGUUGUAAAGCACUUUCAGCGAGGAGGAAGGUGGUGAGCUUAAUACGCUCAUCAAUUGACGUUACUCGCAGAAGAAGCACCGGCUAACUCCGUGCCAGCAGCCGCGGUAAUACGGAGGGUGCAAGCGUUAAUCGGAAUUACUGGGCGUAAAGCGCACGCAGGCGGUUUGUUAAGUCAGAUGUGAAAUCCCCGGGCUCAACCUGGGAACUGCAUUUGAAACUGGCAAGCUAGAGUCUCGUAGAGGGGGGUAGAAUUCCAGGUGUAGCGGUGAAAUGCGUAGAGAUCUGGAGGAAUACCGGUGGCGAAGGCGGCCCCCUGGACGAAGACUGACGCUCAGGUGCGAAAAGCGUGGGGAGCAAAACAGGAUUAGAUACCCUGGUAGUCCACGCUGUAAAACGAUGUCGAUUUUGGA